Ananas comosus (pineapple) is the source of this 1949-nucleotide long non-coding RNA. RefSeq lists it as uncharacterized. NCBI's taxonomy places the organism in Eukaryota, Viridiplantae, Streptophyta, Magnoliopsida, Poales, Bromeliaceae. The transcript has 3 exons. The record is from RefSeq and is a predicted model, not a curated record.
AAAAGCAAAAUAAUAAACAACUUUUGAUAAAUUAUUAGUUUUGACAGAAAUUGGUAGGUCUACAAUUUUUUAUGCACUGAUAUGUUUAAUUCCUUUAUGUAGGAAAAAUACUAAGCAGUUGAUACUUGAAGAACCACUGCAAGAAUUGCACGACGAGAAGAAAGAGGAGGAGGAGACUUGUAGGCAUGGAAAAGGUGAAGACGUGGGGGAAAAGAAUAAUAAGAAAAAGAAUCUUACGGAUUAUGAGUAUACGUCGGGAGAGGAUGACGAUUACGUCUGGCCACAUGGUACUCGCAGAAGGACCCGCAAAGAAUGGCUAGAUAUUUAUAAACAAAUUAAGGAAAGCGAGAAUACGAGCUAUGAGUUUCUGAAGCUAGAGAAGAUAACUUGCUGCAUUGCAGCGGGAUUGGGGUACCGUCUUACUUUUCAAGCAAUAGAUGGUGAAGCCGAGCCCAAAUCCUUCCAAGCUAUAACUUUUUUUGGGAUAGAUGAUAGUAUUACUGUUGAUCUUUGCAGGCUUAAGUCUAUUGCUAGUUCGUAAAAGGUUGAAUGGAUGUACUCCACACUAGACCUGCUAUUUGGUUGUGUAAAACAGCGGGACAUAAUUUUGUUUGUGUUGCUAUUUUCUAUUUAUUUUAAGUUGUCAGCUUUUUGAUAUAACUACUUAGGAGGCUUUAGCAACUUAAAUUUUGUUUUAUUUUUCUUUUUACAUACUAUAUCAAUGUGGACAAAUUUAUCUUCUUCAUAGUACAUGACAAGUAGAAGAUGCUUCUUUUUCAUUAAUUUGGUAGUCUAUCGGUGGUCUUGUGAAGAAUCUAUGUAAGCUAUUUGUAGUGUUUUAUGUGAGAAAUGAAAAGUUUGUAGUGUAAAAAGGCCUGGGUAAAUAUGCUUCCACUUUUAUAUUCUUAGUAGUAUUGCUUAUAUGGAUUUCUGAUUGGUAGUUGUCCUAAAGACAGUUGAAAUACAGUAAUGUGCUGAUUUUAGUUGUUCAACCAAUUUGCUAUCCUUUAUAGUUGCGAGAAACAGAUAUUAUUUAGUUGUAUAAACUACCAGUGCUUGUGUAACUCUCACUCAUCAAUCUAUAAAAUUUUUUUAUUAAGUAAUUCUUAAAUAGUUUCUAUUAUCUCUAUAGCUUUCUUUAGUUUCUUUUUUGGAGAUGUAUGUUUCAUCUCUUUUUGACAGUUUAGUCUUAGUAAAGAAGCUGGAUUGGGGCCAAAGUGAGCUUCUUGUUUUGGAUUUGAGCAGAGCAUACUGUUAAAAUUUAGUUGCAUUGGUUGAUCUUAGUUGGCAUUGAUGCUAAGAAAAAGAAAGCAUGUGGAUAUAAGCUCAUCUUACUGGCUUAAAGAAUAAACUCUGAUAUGUUCCCCUUAGUAAUGAUUUGAAAUUUAGGGCCAAUCUAUGCAGGGUCUCACUUGCCACCAUUCUUGUGUGGUUUCGAAUUGUUCAAGAAUGUAUUUGUUGAUUUCUACUGGGUGAGUUACAUCUGAUUCAUUUGACCUUUCUAGUACUUGAAAAAGUUAACUUUUUGGUUUAUAAUUCGGAAAGAGCAUUUCAAUGCAGUUAAGGAAAUAAGGAGUUUUAUCUUGUGCAACAUCCGGUGAGUAUAGAUACCAAGGUAAUUCUAUCUCGUUAUAGUUAAGUAUUAUUGUUGCCAAGAAUUUAUUGUAUGAUUUAGUGGACUUUUAUCUAUUGAAAUGCGUCGUCAAGUGUGCCUGGAUCCAGAGCACCAUCUCUGAAGGUGGAGAGAUCCAAGAGGGUCGUUUGGAUCUCAUGGUGUUUUUUGUUUUGAUUUGAACAUUGGUUUUGGAAAAUUUGUGUAGGAGUUGGUUGGCUAUAGAUCUUGUGGAUUCUGAAGUAAAAAAAGAUAUCUUUUCGCUUAUAAUGCUUGAUUAGGUUUCUUAGGUCUACUACGUCGUUUUGAGUUUUCUUUUGUUUUAAGCUUCUUGUGU